Molecule: non-coding RNA, 95 nt
Organism: Asterophora parasitica
Lineage: Eukaryota; Fungi; Basidiomycota; Agaricomycetes; Agaricales; Lyophyllaceae
Source: the annotation of a GenBank genome assembly
GGCGCUGUAGUGUAGCGGUUAUCACUCGAGAUUCUGAUAUUGUCUGUCACAAAAUGUAACUUCUCGUAACCCAGGUUCGAUUCCUGGCAGUGCCU